RNAcentral lists this ribosomal RNA (207 nucleotides) under uncultured delta proteobacterium. RNAcentral's name for it is "partial 16S ribosomal RNA". It matches the Rfam family "Bacterial small subunit ribosomal RNA", at positions 568 to 774 of the family's 1533-position model. The record is from RNAcentral. Lineage: Bacteria; Deltaproteobacteria.
CGUGUAGGCGGUUUGUUAAGUCUGUUGUGAAAGCCCUGGGCUCAACCCAGGAAGUGCACUGGAUACUGGCAGACUUGAAUACGGGAGAGGGUAGUGGAAUUCCUGGUGUAGGAGUGAAAUCCGUAGAUAUCAGGAGGAACACCGGUGGCGAAGGCGGCUGCCUGGACCAAUAUUGACGCUGAGACGCGAAAGCGUGGGUAGCAAACA